CCUACGGGAGGCAGCAGUGGGGAAUAUUGCGCAAUGGGCGAAAGCCUGACGCAGCGACGCCGCGUGAGGGAUGAAGGUCUUCGGAUCGUAAACCUCUGUCAGCAGGGAAGACCGGUCACUGUGCUAAUCAGCAGUGAAUUGACGGUACCUGCAAAGGAAGCACCGGCUAACUCCGUGCCAGCAGCCGCGGUAAUACGGAGGGUGCGAGCGUUAAUCGGAAUUACUGGGCGUAAAGCGCUCGUAGGCGGUCUGUCAAUUCAAGGGUGAAAUCCCCGCGCUCAACGUUGGAACUUCCUUGGAAACUGGCAAACUGGAGUUGGUGAGAGGAUAGUGGAAUUCCAGGGGUA
RNAcentral lists this ribosomal RNA (347 nucleotides) under uncultured bacterium. Its description in RNAcentral is "partial 16S ribosomal RNA". It matches the Rfam family "Bacterial small subunit ribosomal RNA", at positions 338 to 677 of the family's 1533-position model. The record is from RNAcentral.